RNAcentral lists this ribosomal RNA (254 nucleotides) under uncultured bacterium. RNAcentral describes it as "partial 16S ribosomal RNA". It matches the Rfam family "Bacterial small subunit ribosomal RNA", at positions 524 to 776 of the family's 1533-position model. The record is from RNAcentral.
UACGGGGGGGGGCAAGCGUUGUUCGGAAUUACUGGGCGUAAAGGGCUCGUAGGUGGCCAACUAAGUCGGACGUGAAAUCCCUCAGCUUAACUGGGGAACUGCGUCCGAUACUGGAUGGCUCGAGUUUGGGAGAGGGAUGCGGAAUUCCAGGUGUAGCGGUGAAAUGCGUAGAUAUCUGGAGGAACACCGGUGGCGAAGGCGGCAUCCUGGACCAGCACUGACACUGAAGCACGAAAGCGUGGGGAGCAAACAGG